RNAcentral lists this ribosomal RNA (253 nucleotides) under uncultured bacterium. RNAcentral's name for it is "partial 16S ribosomal RNA". It matches the Rfam family "Bacterial small subunit ribosomal RNA", at positions 524 to 776 of the family's 1533-position model. The record is from RNAcentral.
UACGGAGGGUGCAAGCGUUAUCCGGAUUCACUGGGUUUAAAGGGUGCGUAGGCGGUUUGGUAAGUCCGUGGUGAAAUCUCUAAGCUUAACUUGGAAACUGCCAUGGAUACUAUUAGUCUUGAAUAUUGUGGAGGUUAGCGGAAUAUGUCAUGUAGCGGUGAAAUGCAUAGAUAUGACAUAGAACACCAAUUGCGAAGGCAGCUGGCUGCACAAAUAUUGACGCUGAUGCACGAAAGCGUGGGGAUCAAACAGG